Small nuclear RNA from Ailuropoda melanoleuca (giant panda), 119 nucleotides. The record is from Ensembl. NCBI's taxonomy places the organism in Eukaryota, Metazoa, Chordata, Mammalia, Carnivora, Ursidae.
GUAGUUUAUUCCNUUCACCAGCACAUACACUAAAAUUGGAAUGAUACAGAGAAGAAUAACACGGCCUCUGUGUAAGGAUGACACACAAAUUCAUGAGGAAAAGGUGAUACAAAAUUUGU